This 615-nucleotide ribosomal RNA is filed under the name uncultured organism. RNAcentral's name for it is "bacterial SSU rRNA". It matches the Rfam family "Bacterial small subunit ribosomal RNA", at positions 50 to 663 of the family's 1533-position model. The record is from RNAcentral.
GGCUUAUGCAAGUCGAGCGAAGCACUUUACUUUGAGAUCUUCGGAAGGAUAAGUUUUGUGACUGAGCGGCGGACGGGUGAGUAACGCGUGGGUAACCUGCCUCAUACAGGGGGAUAACAGUUAGAAAUGACUGCUAAUACCGCAUAAGACCACAGCACCGCAUGGUGCAGGGGUAAAAACUCCGGUGGUAUGAGAUGGACCCGCGUCUGAUUAGCUGGUUGGUGAGGUAACGGCUCACCAAGGCAACGAUCAGUAGCCGACCUGAGAGGGUGACCGGCCACAUUGGGACUGAGACACGGCCCAAACUCCUACGGGAGGCAGCAGUGGGGAAUAUUGCACAAUGGGGGAAACCCUGAUGCAGCGACGCCGCGUGAGCGAAGAAGUAUUUCGGUAUGUAAAGCUCUAUCAGCAGGGAAGAAACUGACGGUACCUGACUAAGAAGCACCGGCUAAAUACGUGCCAGCAGCCGCGGUAAUACGUAUGGUGCAAGCGUUAUCCGGAUCUACUGGGUGUAAAGGGAGCGUAGACGGAUAGGCAAGUCUGGAGUGAAAGCCCGGGGCUCAACCCCGGGACUGCUUUGGAAACUGUUUAUCUAGAGUGCUGGAGAGGUAAGUG